RNAcentral lists this ribosomal RNA (522 nucleotides) under uncultured bacterium. RNAcentral describes it as "bacterial SSU rRNA". It matches the Rfam family "Bacterial small subunit ribosomal RNA", at positions 371 to 884 of the family's 1533-position model. The record is from RNAcentral.
AUGGACGAAAGUCUGAUGGAGCAACGCCGCGUGAGUGAAGAAGGAUUUCGGUUCGUAAAACUCUGUUGCAAGGGAAGAACAAGUAGCGUAGUAACUGGCGCUACCUUGACGGUACCUUGUUAGAAAGCCACGGCUAACUACGUGCCAGCAGCCGCGGUAAUACGUAGGUGGCAAGCGUUGUCCGGAAUUAUUGGGCGUAAAGCGCGCGCAGGUGGUUCCUUAAGUCUGAUGUGAAAGCCCCCGGCUCAACCGGGGAGGGUCAUUGGGAACUGGGGAACUUGAGUGCAGAAGAGGAUAGUGGAAUUCCAAGUGUAGCGGUGAAAUGCGUAGAGAUUUGGAGGAACACCAGUGGCGAAGGCGACUGUCUGGUCUGUAACUGACACUGAGGCGCGAAAGCGUGGGGAGCAAACAGGAUUAGAUACCCUGGUAGUCCACGCCGUAAACGAUGAGUGCUAAGUGUUGGGGGGUUUCCGCCCCUCAGUGCUGCAGCUAACGCAUUAAGCACUCCGCCUGGGGAGUACG